GCCAUCCACGACACACUUGGAAAACCAGCGAAAUAAACUCUGAUGGACCACCUAGCCUGCAUGACGCUGUUCAAGCUCAGAAGGGUGCAAAGUUACAGGGUGUUCCCAGCACCACAGGAUUCCCCCAACACUAACCUCAGUCAGAUGUUUACGGCCAAGCAAAUGGAAAUGGAGAUUUAAGGAGUGGGGGCAGAGAUGGGAGUCAGACGAAUUUCACGGUGUCCUGGGCAAAGAGAAAGACAAACCCCUUUGCCCCUAAUAAUUAAAAGCUUCUCGGAGGAGCCACUUUCUGGCCGGAGCAGGAGGUGUGCAAGGGACUGAGAUCACUCAUCCUGGAGUAAGACAGCUGCCAUGUCAUGAGGACACUCAAGCAACCCUAAGGAGAGAUCCACGUGGCAAGGAAAUGAGGCCUCCUCCCUACAGCCACAUGAGUGAGUCAUCUCAGAAGUGGAUUUCCAGCUCUAGUCAAGCUUCAAAAGACUACAGCCCUGCAGCCCCAGGCAGCAUUUUAACUACAAUCUCAUGAGAGAUCCUGAGCCAGAACUACCGACCUAAGCCAGUUCCAAACUCUUGACCUGCAGAAACUAUGUGAGAUAAUAUUUAAUGUUGUUUUAAGUCACUGUGUUCAGAGUAAUUUGUUAUGCAACAAUAGAUAACCAAUACAUCCACUAUAUGUCUGUCGAUGGGCAUUUAAGUUGCUUCCAUGACCUGGCUAUUGUAAAUAGUGCUGCAGUGAACAUUGGGGUGCAUGUGUCUUUUUGAAGUAUGGUUUUCUCUGGGUAUAUGCCCAGUAGUGAGAUUGCUGGGUCAUGUGGUAAUUCUAUUUUUAGUUUUUUAAGGAACCUCCAUACUGUUCUCCAUAGUGGCUGUAUCAAUUUACAUUCCCACCAAUAGUGCAAGAGGGUUCCCUUUUCUCCACACCCUCUCCAGCAUCUGUUGUUUGUAGAUUUUCUGAUGACGAAUGGAUAAAGAAGAUGUGGUACAUAUAUACAAUGGACUAUUACUCAGCCAUAAAAAGGAGUGAAAUUGGAUCAUUUGUAGAGAUGUGGAUGGAUCUAGAGACUCUCAUAUAGAGUGAAGUAAGUCAGAAAGAGAAAAACAAAUAUCGUAUAUUAAGGCAUAUAUGUGGAAUCUAGAAAAAUGGUACAGAUGAACUGGUUUGCAGGGCAGAAAUAGAGACACCGAUGUAGAGAAGGAACGAAUGGACACCAA
Eubalaena glacialis (North Atlantic right whale) is the source of this 1212-nucleotide long non-coding RNA. RefSeq lists it as uncharacterized. The transcript is spliced from 3 exons. NCBI's taxonomy places the organism in Eukaryota, Metazoa, Chordata, Mammalia, Artiodactyla, Balaenidae. The record is from RefSeq and is a predicted model, not a curated record.